Molecule: ribosomal RNA, 465 nt
Filed under: uncultured bacterium
Lineage: Bacteria
Description: partial 16S ribosomal RNA
Rfam family: Bacterial small subunit ribosomal RNA
Source: RNAcentral
CCUACGGGAGGCUGCAGUGGGGAAUAUUGCGCAAUGGGCGAAAGCCUGACGCAGCGACGCCGCGUGAGGGAUGAAGGUCUUCGGAUCGUAAACCUCUGUCAGCAGGGAAGAACGGUCACUGUGCUAAUCAGCAGUGAAUUGACGGUACCUGCAAAGGAAGCACCGGCUAACUCCGUACCAGCAGCCGCGUUAAUACGGAGGGUGCGAGCGUUAAUCGGAAUUACUGGGCGUAAAGCGCUCGUAGGCGGGAUGUCAAGUCAAGGGUGAAAUCCCUGGGCUCAACGUGAGAACUGCCUUUGAAACUGGCAAACUGGAGUGUGUGAGAGGAUAGUGGAAUUCCAGGUGUAGGAGUGAAAUCCGUAGAUAUCUGGAAGAACAUCAGGGGCGAAGGCGACUAUCUGGCACAUAACUGACGCUGAGGAGCGAAAGCGUGGGUAGCAAACAGGAGUAGAUACCCGAGUAGUC